Molecule: ribosomal RNA, 507 nt
Filed under: uncultured bacterium
Lineage: Bacteria
Description: partial 16S ribosomal RNA
Rfam family: Bacterial small subunit ribosomal RNA
Source: RNAcentral
AGUGAACGCUGGCGGUAGGCCUAACACAUGCAAGUCGAACGGCAGCACAGAGGAGCUUGCUCCUUGGGUGGCGAGUGGCGGACGGGUGAGGAAUACAUCGGAAUCUGCUCUGUCGUGGGGGAUAACGUAGGGAAACUUACGCUAAUACCGCAUACGAACUACGGGUGAAAGCAGGGGAUCUUCGGACCUUGCGCGAUUGAAUGAGCCGAUGUCGGAUUAGCUAGUUGGCGGGGUAAAGGCCCACCAAGGCGACGAUCCGUGCGCUGGUCUGAGAGGAUGAUCAGCCACACUGGAACUGAGACACGGUCCAGACUCCUACGGGAGGCAGCAGUGGGGAAUAUUGGACAAUGGGCGCAAGCCUGAUCCAGCCAUACCGCGUGGGUGAAGAAGGCCUUCGGGUUGUAAAGCCCUUUUGUUGGGAAAGAAAUCCAUCUGGUUAAUACCCGGGUGGGAUGACGGUACCCAAAGAAUAAGCACCGGCUAACUUCGUGCCAGCAGCCGCCGCCG